GCUUCCCCAGGUCGCGGCGGCGGGAGCAACAAGCAGCGGCUCGUGAGUCCGCGGCUCGCACCCAGGGGCGCCCGCACGUGCGGCUAGAACGUCCGAGUCGGGGUCCGGGGCGGGGGGCGCAGGCCCGCGGCGGUAGGGGAGGAGAGCGGGCACCCGAGUCUCCAUCCUCAGGGUGGCCUGAAGGUUCCAGGAGGGCGUCCGGCGAAGGCACGGGGCUGCGACCAUCCAGUUAGCAGGGCUGGUGUGACUGUUGAGAGUAAAUGAAAAUUCGUUUUGUGACACCGACCACCUCCAAGGAAUGAAAGGAGCAGUCAGCCGAAACGACAGCAUUACUUGCGUCCUUACCUAAUUGGAACCUUAUCCGUGGCUGAGGGUGCCACCAUUGGAGGGGCCGCCGCCCCCUCUGACACCACCUGGCGCUCCGCUCCAUUUAGGAGCUAGAACGAAAAGGAGGCCCAUCCCCCAGUAAGUCACAGCCCACGCCAAGAUGAGUUCUGGAGCCUGUGCGACCGAAGUUUCUUCACCGCAGGGCGAGGUGGACAAGGGUGUGAGUUACUUUGACUUCAAGACGUCUCAGUGGCGGCUGGUUCUGGAGAGAGGCUUUAUGCUGGAGCACUUCCAGCAAAGUUCGGCUGGGGCCUCCUUAACUCACUGGCUGGUCACCCUUGGCCUCGGUUUUCAACCAAAGCCUAAGGCCUCAGUUUUCAACGCUGUAAAUGGAAAUAAAUGAGAGAAGAAAGUACAGCCCGUGUGACAAGUGCAGCAAGCAAUGCAACUUCCUUGGGACCUACCCUUUGUGGUCCCUUGCUUUAAAAGUAUAGAUUCACAUUUAGUUAGACCUGUUUCUUCCUCGCAUGCAAUUUCACCAGUCUUUUCCCAGACUUCUGUACUCAACAGAGGAAGUUCCUUCCUGGGAGACCAUAGCUGUUUGUAUGUAAAGAGUUGCGAAAAAACAAAAGCAAAACAAAAAACUCCAACACCUCUCUGUCACAGAAGUAUUGAAUUAUAUAGACUGGAAAAAUGGAAGUAUCCAAGAAAACGCGUGUGGUAAGAAAAUGGCUAAGAAGAAACUGUUAGAGCACCCUGGGAUGUGUGGGCCUGGGACUGUUUGCCUUUGGCACGGCUAUGCUCCGAGCUUUGGAGGAGCCAAGGAAGAAAGGCCUAGUUCCUGAUCUUAAGGCCUUUGCAGUGUGCAUUGGGAGACAUAGACUGCAAUGAAAAGAUCAUUAUUGCAAGAGACAAAUGGCAUGGAGCCACAUUCCCAGGUAACAUUUUAGUACAUUCAUCUAUGUAUUCAUUCAAAAUCAUUGACUGUAUAGUAUUAUAUAGUAUAGGGCUUCCCAGCUUCAUAGUUUAAUUAUCUUUCUUUUAAUCUCUUUCAUUAAUAUAUUUUAAAUGUUUUUCUAAAAUAAAUAAUACAUAAUUAUAGUAGAACAUUAGAGCACUACAGACUUAUUUGUAGUGACAAAAUCACUAGGAAAAACUUGAAUGUCUGUUUAUAACUAAGUGAUUGAAUUAACUGUGGUUGAUCCACUCUCUGGAAUGUUAUGUACCAACAAAAAUGAACAAAUUGAGAAUAUCUGUUGACUGGGUGCAGUGGCUCACACCUGUAAUCCCAGCACUUUGGGAGGCCAAGCUGGGUGGACGGCUUGAGCUCAGGAGUUUGAGACCAGCCUGGGCAACUUGGUGAAAUCCCGUCUCUACAAAAAUACAAAAAAAAAAAAAAAAAAAAAAAAAUUAGCUGUGUUGAUGGCAUGCACCUGUAGUCCCAACUAUUUAGGAGGCUGAACUGGGGGGAUCACUUGAACCCGGGAAACAGAGGUUGCAGUAAGCCAAGAGUGCACCAAUGCACUUCGGCUUAUGCGACAGAGUGAGAUCUUGUCUCAAAAAGAAAAAAAAAAUCUGUCGAUCUAGAAAGAGGACAGGAUGUAUUGUAGAAUGAAAGUCAAGGUGCAAAGAAAUGUUCAUAUUAUAAUCUCCUUUUUGCAAAGGCAACAGUGACACCCCCCAAAAAGUUUGAAUUAAAAAAAGAUAGAAAGGUGGACAUGCCAAGCUAUUAAUAUUGGUUACCUUGACGACAGGUCGGUUAUUAAUU
This 2095-nucleotide long non-coding RNA is filed under the name Homo sapiens (human). RNAcentral's name for it is "non-protein coding lnc-PRIMPOL-7:7". Lineage: Eukaryota; Metazoa; Chordata; Mammalia; Primates; Hominidae. The record is from RNAcentral.